RNAcentral lists this non-coding RNA (2208 nucleotides) under Azotobacter vinelandii DJ. The record is from RNAcentral. Lineage: Bacteria; Pseudomonadati; Pseudomonadota; Gammaproteobacteria; Pseudomonadales; Pseudomonadaceae.
AGUACUACUUCGGCGGUGCGACCUGAAAGUCGCAUGGGUUUCUGUUUCGCGGCCGCGUCCGACGAAACCGAUUGUUCCACCAACCGUUCCCUACCCGGACAGGCGAAGCCGGCAACAGCUUGGUCUGAAGCUCUAGGGACAAUGUAGCCACCGACGUCGUCGGUAGGUCGAGCCGUGAGGCAAGGCCGAAUCUGCCAGCAUCAAGGCGGAGAGGCGCUAGGGAUGAAUGGGUACGACCAACACACGUGAACCUCCUAUAAACGUCGUCAUGACAGCCAAGCCAAAGAUGCUGACAGGCUUGAACCAAAAGGUAUGCGGUCAGGCAGGGGCUCUUACCGAUAGCCCCUCGUGGACGAAGUGCCGCCGGCGAAAUCGAGGGGUCCGACCCAUUCGGAAAUCCAUGCGGAACAGGGUAAGCCCGUAGCAUCGCCGGACACGGCAGGCGGACCGCGAGGAACGCUGAGGGUGCUGCGGGUAAAGGAAUGUGGAGAAAGCGAAGGCCGCCCUGUAACGGGGUGGAUACGGGCUAAGACAUGGCCUGGCGCGAAAGCGAGCAGACUUCCACAAGGUCUUCCAUGGCGAAAUAACCUUGCCAAUCGUUGGACGGAGGAAAGCAGAUGACAGAACCAGCUCGCCAUGCGCAAGCAGCGACGCCACGUUCUGGUGCACCUUCGCAUGCCAAAUCGAACUGGCCCCAAUCCUGGUGCCGGAUCGAAUCGGACGUGAAACGACUCCAGGUGCGUAUUGCCAAGGCAACACGAGAAGGCAGGUGGGGCAAGGUGCAAGCCUUGCAGAGGCUGCUGACUCGCUCGUACAGCGGCAAGAUGCUCGCCGUGAAACGAGUGACGGAAAAUCGAGGGAAGAAAACACCGGGAAUCGACGGCAAGAUCUGGUCGACUCCGGUCGCCAAAUCGAAGGGAGCAUCGGCGCUGAAGCAGCGUGGUUAUCGACCACAGCCGCUGAGGCGCCUCUACAUACCCAAGAGCGACGGCAAGGAACGCCCACUGGGGAUUCCAACGAUGCGGGACAGGGCCAUGCAAGCGCUGUGGAAACUGGCGCUCGAGCCGGUGGCAGAGACGCGUGCCGAUCCCAACUCGUAUGGUUUCCGGCCAGAACGUUCAACGGCCGAUGCCAUCGCACACGGCUUCACCGUGCUGGCAAAGCGUAGCUCGGCAGAGUGGAUACUUGAAGGAGACAUCCGUGGCUGCUUUGACAAUAUCAGUCAUGAUUGGCUGCUCACCAAUGUCCCCAUGGACAAGACCAUUCUGCGUAAAUGGCUGCAGGCAGGGUAUGUCGAGCAGGGAACCUUGUUCGCAACGGAGGCGGGAACCCCGCAAGGGGGAAUCAUCUCCCCGAUACUCGCGAACUGGACCCUGGAUGGACUGGAGCAGGCCGCUCUCACCAGCGUGGCUUCGACAGAACGCCGGCGAAGGCCCUUCAAGGUCCAUGCCGUAAGGUAUGCCGAUGACUUCAUCGUCACGGGGGCUUCGAAAUCUCUCCUGGAACAUCAGGUACGACCGGCGAUCGAGGCGUUCCUGAAAGAGCGGGGCCUGGAGCUCUCGGCAAAGAAGACUCACAUAACGCAUAUCUCCGAAGGCUUCGACUUUCUUGGCCAGAACGUACGCAAGUACGCCGGCAAGCUGCUGAUCACUCCAGCUCGCAAGAGUGUGAAAGUGCUCCUGGAGAAAGUCCGGGAAGUCGUAAACGGGAACAAGGCAGCCACACAGGCGAACCUGAUCCUGAUCCUGACCCUGACCCUGAACCCGAUCAUCCGGGGGUGGGCCAUGUAUCAUCGCCAUGUCGUUGCUGCCGCCCGCUUCGCAUGGAUCGACCACCAGAUUUGGCGAAUCCUAUGGCGCUGGGCUGUGCGCCGGCAUGCCAUGAAAAGUGCUCACUGGGUAAAGCAACGAUACUUCCGCGUGGUGGGGCGACGACACUGGGUGUUUGCUUGCAAGGAAAGAAAGCAUGGCAUGAGCCAGCCCGUCUGGCUGUUCGCUGCAGCCAGUGUUCCGAUCAUACGGCACGUCAGGAUAUGCAGCGCGGCGAACCCGUUCGACCCUGCAUGGACGCUUUACCUGGAGCGCAGGAGAGCACAGCGUCAGGUAGCCCGGUCACCCGGCUGCUGGAAGGCUUGAGCCGUAUGAGGGGUGACUCUCAUGUACGGUUCUCAGGGGAGGCAGGAGUGGUAACACUCCUGCCUUACCCGAC